GGGAAUAGCUCAGUUGGUAGAGCACGACCUUGCCAAGGUCGGGGUCGCGAGUUGCUUUGGCUCG
Molecule: transfer RNA, 64 nt
Filed under: Escherichia coli BL21(DE3)
Lineage: Bacteria; Pseudomonadati; Pseudomonadota; Gammaproteobacteria; Enterobacterales; Enterobacteriaceae
Description: tRNA-Gly
Rfam family: tRNA
About the family: Transfer RNA (tRNA) molecules are approximately 80 nucleotides in length. Their secondary structure includes four short double-helical elements and three loops (D, anti-codon, and T loops).
Source: RNAcentral